Long non-coding RNA from Dreissena polymorpha, 842 nucleotides. RefSeq lists it as uncharacterized. The transcript is spliced from 3 exons. NCBI's taxonomy places the organism in Eukaryota, Metazoa, Mollusca, Bivalvia, Myida, Dreissenidae. The record is from RefSeq and is a predicted model, not a curated record.
GUGAGGCAAUACAGAGCACGGUGACUUGCGGGAAGGCAAAAUCCUCCGUGUGCUUUAAUUAGCUAAAUUGAUUGGUAUUAGUUAAACAAAUCUUAUCUCAUUAGUCCGAUUCAGGUAGGAAAAGAGAGCAAUUGCUCUAUUUGUUGGGAAUGUGCGUUUAGAGUAAACACAGCACGUUAUCUUUUUGUGAAACUGUUUGAAACAAAUUUGGUGCAUUAAAAAAGUGCCAAACAGUUGACCGUUUAAUGUGGAUGUAACUGAAAUACCACGGAAAGUUGUCCCAGGUAUUGAAGAUAUCUUCCACACAGAAUUCCAAGGGGUGUGUGUGAGAGAGCUCUGGUACACUUGGAGAAGGAAUGACCUAUAGAAUAAUCUUCAGAGUCUGCCAGAAGCUGUUUACGCUGGAUAAAAUCCACUGAUUGUGAGAUACAUUUUUACAGAUUAUCACAUACAGACUGUAAUAAAAAGUUUGAUGAAAAGAUAUUUCUGGAGUGAAUAAUUUCCAGUUUCGAAUUGAUUCUUAAGAGUGCCUAUGUCAUCUACAAAGCAUCUAGAAAGCCAGUUUACUCGCACUUCAAGUUAUCCUGUGGAACCUUAAUUACGCUUUUCGAGUGAUAGGUUAUUUGUUUUAUGUGCAUUAUUCAGCUGCUAUACAUAAUUUGAUAAUAAACAUAUUAUUUCUGGAUAGAAUGUUGUAAGCUGAUUAAUGAAUCAGCAAUUUUACCCCACGGAAAAGAUGGCAGGAUUAACACGAAAUAGCAGAGUUUCUGCGAUGCCUCUCAAAGCUAAGAAGAAAGUGUUGCUGCUCUUAAUGCUGAUACUAUACACCAGUUGUUCUCAAA